Molecule: long non-coding RNA, 1110 nt
Organism: Cervus elaphus (red deer)
Lineage: Eukaryota; Metazoa; Chordata; Mammalia; Artiodactyla; Cervidae
Exons: 3
Source: RefSeq, a predicted model, not a curated record
CCACCUUUCAGGGAAUGGCGAAGUUUUCCAAGCAAAAUCUCCAGUUGCUCAACCAGAGAAAAAGCCAAUUCACCCACCCAUCUGAUUCAAAGAAGAGGGAGAGCCCCUCAACUUCCACCAAACGCCUCCCCCAGGAGGAGGCUGGCAGAAAAUACUGCAGCGGUGCAGAAGCUGGGGGGUGUGCGAGAGGGCAACCCAACUUCGCAGAGUGUGUGGACCCCACCUUCACCCCUCGAUACCCAGCUCCAGCUCGGAAGAGGGGGCCUAUCUGAAGGAGACCUCUCUUGAGGACACUGAGGUAAUACAGCUAAUGGAGAGGUGCAAGACAAGACCUGGUAAACUAGAGUGUAGUGUCUUGAUUUGUCUAAUGCCAACCAACAAGCUGCAACCUUGGGAUUUGAAUGCAGGCAUGGCCAACUCCAACAUCCAGUCUCUCGAUCAUAAUGUAUGUUGAUGAAAGAAAAAUCUUCUCCAUCAUCAGACAAGCUGAUGAUAAGGGCUAACGUGCUCCCAGAACAAAAAGAAUCCAGGCCACAGGUAAAAAGAAGACUAAAUCAAGCUAGCUUCCUCUUCCUUUAACUGAUGAGUUAGCUGGCUUGCAUGUCACUGUGUGUAUGUGAUGUGAGGAGUACCCUGAGCUUCCUCAUUCAGUAUAUGUUCCCUUACCUUCUCAUAGAGGACAGUCUGUUUUGUAUGUUUUGAAAAGUUCCCUGACAGGUAAAUUGUCAGCACCAACGUAAUUCUAUAUUAAUCUGUGUAUGAUCAGGCAGAUGCGUUAGACUCUCCUGUUUCUGCCUGACUGCAAUCUGGCUGGCCACUCCUUGAUACCCAUAUUUCAAGAAGGGCAAGAAUUAAAAAAAAAAAAAAACUAAACUCAGAAGAUUUCUAUUUCUGGCAAUAUGGUAGACUAGAUAUCCUGAUGGUCCUUCCCGCUAACAACUAAAAAAUGCUGCAUAAAAUAAAACACUAACAAAGAGAGAAAAAUUCUUUUAAAAAAGCUUGAUGAGCUAUCAAAACAGGAAUAUUCAGAGGCACAAAUGUAGUGAGUGCAGAAACCCAUAAAAUCAAGGGACGCCUUGAGGAUACAUUUUUAGAACCUGUGGAACUGGG